Molecule: microRNA, 20 nt
Filed under: Homo sapiens (human)
Lineage: Eukaryota; Metazoa; Chordata; Mammalia; Primates; Hominidae
Description: hsa-miR-6088
Source: miRBase by way of RNAcentral
AGAGAUGAAGCGGGGGGGCG